Molecule: ribosomal RNA, 468 nt
Filed under: uncultured bacterium
Lineage: Bacteria
Description: partial 16S ribosomal RNA
Rfam family: Bacterial small subunit ribosomal RNA
Source: RNAcentral
GACGAACGCUGGCGGCGUGCUUAACACAUGCAAGUCGAACGGAAAGGCCCUGCUUUUUUGGGGUGCUCGAGUGGCGAACGGGUGAGUAACACGUGAGUAACCUGCCCUUGACUUUGGGAUAACUUCAGGCAACUGGGGCUAAUACCGGAUAGGAGCUCCUGCUGCAUGGUGGGGGUUGGAACGUUUCGGCGGUUGGGGAUGGACUCGCGGCUUAUCAGCUUGUUGGUGGGGUAGUGGCUUACCAAGGCUUUGACGGGUAGCCGGCCUGAGAGGGUGACCGGCCACAUUGGGACUGAGAUACGGCCCAGACUCCUACGGGAGGCAGCAGUGGGGAAUAUUGCACAAUGGGCGGAAGCCUGAUGCAGCAACGCCGCGUGCGGGAUGACGGCCUUCGGGUUGUAAGCCGCUUUCGCCUGUGACGAAGCGUGAGUGACGGUAAUGGGUAAAGAAGCACCGGCUAACUACGUG